ACAUCCAAAUUCAACAGGGGACUGCACAACACACACAUACAUUUUCCGGCUGCUAAUAAUAAUGAGACAAACCUAGAUAGCAUCCUAAAAAGCAGAGACAUCACCUUGCCAACAAAGGUCCGUAUAGUUCAAGCUCUGGUUUUCCCAGUAGUGAUGUAUGGAAGUGCCGGAUACGACUAAACGACUAAACAACAACAGCAAUAAUAAUGAAGAUUAUGAGAAAACAACAGCAGAGAAAUUGAGCUAUAAAUGCACACACAGGCUGCCAUUCUAACCCUAACCCGUGCUAAGAAUGACACCUCACUCCCUCUCUGAAAUAAAAUAAGUGAGCGCACGUCAGAGGCAGCCAAAAGGGCAGGAAUCCCCCCCAAACCCAAGGCCAAGUCAGGCAUGAGAAGGCUGCUAUUGGAUGAGAUGCGGCCGCCAUUUUUGUACCCACCUCUGUCACACCCAGCGAAGGGAAACUUGUUUUAAAGUUGGGGGGGAUAUGGGGAAACCGCAAAAGGCACCCAUGGGGCUGGGCAAGGCAGAAGGAGGGUAACAGGCAAGGUGCAGCCACCAUUUUUGCACCUGUCUCCACGCACAGAGAGAGGAAGGAACAAGCUGCCUGUUCUUUCUGAGGUGAAUGGCUGCCCUAGAUGGCCAGUCUCCAUUUUUUCCUGAUGCCUCAGGAGGGUUGUGGCGCAUAAAACCAGAGCCCCUCAUGGGUGGCAAAGGAUCUCCUCCCUCUUUGCCAGGCAUAGGCAAACUCGGCCCUCCAGAUGUUUUGGGACUACAAUUCCCAUCAUCCCUGACCACGGGUCCUGUUAGCUACGGAUCAUGGGAGUUGUAGUCCCAAAAGAUCUGGAGAGCUGAGUUUGCCUAUGCCUGCCCUUUGCAUUCCAGAUCUGCAAAGGGUUUUACCUCAAGGUGUGGGGCUCUGCAUUUGUGCGAUGCAAUCACUGCCACCUGUAAUUUUUCACUAUGACUUUAAACUGGCGCUGCUUUUUGUGGAUGUGUGUAGUGUAACCUCUGCAUUUUGGGUGUCAGAUUGUGGUUUUCUGAGCUCCUUCCCUCAGAAACCUCCGGCUUGUCUGCCUCCAUGCCCUCUUCCCUCAGAGACUUAAGGGGUGAGACAUCUGGUGAGGAACCAAAUGAGUCCCGGGAUUGUUUCUGUGGAGAAAUAAGACCUUUUUUCUCUCCCUUCAGACCAGACAAGGGAUGUGAACAAACUGAGCAGAGGAAAUGGAGCCGUCCUCUAGCAGAGGCAUUUUCCCUCUCUCCCGCCAUGAAGAGGCUAAAUGAACGCCAGGCUCAAAACGCCAGGCUGCCUUUAGGUACAUGCCUCUUCCUUCCUUCCUUCCUUCCUUUCUUGACGAUUCAAAAGGUUCUCCUGCCCUCUUUCUCCCCCCUGGAGUAAGCCCUUCUCGAUGGCCCUUCUAAACAGCUACCGUCUGAAAUAAAUUAAUCACUACACAUGCCUCGUUCUGAAAUUAAUUAAUCACUAAACACGCCUCACGAGUCCCUGAGGAAUUUGGAAGGUUCCCCAGAGGAUGGCUUGGAAUUGCCUUGCUGGGUGAAACUGCAAGAUGGCCUUGUCCCUUUUCCUUAGGCUUUUCCCUCAGCUAUUGAAAAGGCAAAGCUGCCUCUCUUUUACCACAACUUUCCAAGUCAUUGUCUUAAGGAUCUCUUGAAAUUCACUCUGCAGAGUUUCAUUUUCUGGGCCACAGUUUGCACAUGAAAUAACCCAGGCGCCAUUCCAUGUUUUCUGCCUGUGUGUAAAAUAUUUUUUCUUCUUUCCUUUCUUUGACAAAUAGUCCCAAAUAGUUUCAAAAAUUUUUAAAUAGAAUUAAAUAGAAUUGAGGAGAAUUUCUAGAAAGCCCCCAAGCUUUCUAGUAUUCCCUUUAAACAGUAGAAAUAUGGGGCUGGUGGGAGUUCUGCACUGGCUCCCAUGGCAUGGCAAGUUCCUGCCCAUGUGCAGAGUUUUAUAUGGCUUCAUCUAGCUGGAGAAGCUUCGUUUGCAUAUUUCUGGCUGCUGUUAAAACACUUAGGAGCCUUUUUAGCUAAAUGCACCAGUGCCCAUUAGGCAUAUUCUUUCUCCUUUGACCACAGGAUGCAUCCUGGCAUCUUGGGUGAAGUUGUGCCCAUUUUCCACCUCCCCAGGGCAUCCAUUUGAUCCGACCUUCUACCUCAGCCACGCCGCCUCCAAUGUUAUCUGCUCUGUGGUUUUUGGCCAGCGGUUUGAAUAAGAGGACAAACAGUUUGUCUUUUGACUUGAUGCAACCAAGUAAUCUUUGGCUGAUGUUAAAACGUUCAGGAGUAGCGUUGGCUAAAUGCACAAGCGUCCAUUCUUUCCCUUCCUCCUCCAAUCCCAGGGGAUGUCCUGGCACCUCAGGUGAGAAUGGCUAUAGGGCCAGAUGGUGUCAGGUGCCAGCCUGAUCUGGCGGUUGUGGUUCUCACAGGGCCAGAUUUAGGUCUGAUGAGGCCCUAAGAUACUGAAGGGAAUGGGGCCUUUUAUACGUCCAGCUGUCCUUUGUCAAUAACAAAUUGCUGCUGGUUUUUUUAGUUGAAUACAUGCUAUAUGGUAAUUUAUGGGCCUAAUAGGUAUCUCAAGCCAUUUGUACAUGUUGCCAUGCAACCAGUCCAUGCAAAAUGUAAAGGUAAAGGGACCCCUGACCAUUAGGUCCAGUCCAGGGGUUGCGGCACUCAUCUCGCUUUAUUGGCCGAGGGAGCCGGCGUACAGCUUCUGGGUCAUGUGGCCAGCAUGACUAAGCCGCUUCUGGUGAAGCAGAGCAGUGCAUGGAAACGCCGUUUACCUUCCCACCGGAGUGGUACCUAUUUAUCUACUUGCACUUUGACGUGCUUUCGAACUGCUAGGUUGGCAGGAUCAGGGACCGAGCAACAGGAGAACCACCGACCUUCUGAUCGGCAAAUCCUAGGCACUGUGGUUUAAUCCCAUGCAGAAUGUAGGCACCUUAUAUAUAGAAAUGAGCGAACCAGUGAUAUUUUAGGGAGCAGGCUAGCAGGCGGGUCCCAUUACUUACAUCACAGGAGCCUACACAACACAAAACACUGUUGCUGUAUAUUAUUAUAUUUGUUUUUUAUGUUAUAUUUUGGAAAUGUACAUCCAGUUUUUUCCCCUUUAAAUUUGUUGGGAUCCCCCAAGAGAGUGGGGCCCUAAGCUAGAGCUUGUUUAGCUUAUACGUAAAUCCAGCACUGGGUUCUCACUCCUGGUCUCCUCAGCAGCUUCUGCUUCCAUUCUGAUAUCCAUUUCCAGUGGAGCUGGAUUCAAGUUUCCAUUCCUGACCCUGGUGGCAGCUGUCAGUCUGUUCGCUUGGGGUGCUCACCUCUGCCAGGUGGUUACCAAGAUGGGGACAGUGGCCUAGAGUUCUGGGGCAUUUGUUGAGACCUAGAGUCUUCAUCUUUGGAUGCCCAAGGUUGAUCCGUACAGGCUAUUCCUUGGCGGAGGUCUAUGGGGUUAGAGAGGGCUGGAGAUAAAAAGCUCUGGCUGACUCAAAGGGGCUUUUCUGGCAAGGUUGUCAACACUUUGUUUCCCUCAAGGCGGGUUUCUACCAACAACAUGCACAGGGAAGUUGCUUUUGCUUUUGUUUUAAAUAAAAAAUUUAAAUACCAUAUUUUCCCGUGUAUAAGACUAGGUCUUUUUCUUUUAAAAUUAUGUUAAAAAAUUGGGGGCAUCGAAUACACAGGUAUAAGACGGCCCCCCUUUUCUUAAUUUGGAGUCCCCCAAACAGGGGGUGUCUUAUACAUGGGGGCGUGUUAUACAUGGAAAAUACGGUAAAUCCUGGUGCUGCUCCACCGAGACUGACUCAGGAAGGAGGGGAUAAAUAGGGAGAUGGGCUGCACCAUGAUUAAAAUGCCACCUGCCAUUUUAAGCAGAGUUCUGGACAGUUUGGCUGGUCCAAGCUUGUCUUCACGUCAGAUGCUUUGAGGACAUCUGGGACUCGGUUACAUUAGUCCAACCCCCCCCCACACACACACCAGAUGGCGCCAGAGAGCAAAGAAAAAAAAUUCUAUGCAAUUUUUUAAAUAAUAUUUUUCCCCUUUUGUUAUAAUUAUUUAAUUUCUGACUUAUUUGUAGCGCCAUGUUUUCCCCCCUGUGUGUAGAUCCACCCCUCUUCUACUUGGGUUUGUUGUUGUUGUUUAGUCGUUUGGUCAAACUCAUGCUGGUAGCUUCGAGAACACUGUCCCACCAUCUCGUCCUCUGUCGCCCCCUUCUCCUUGUGCCCUCCAUCUUUCCCAACAUCAGAGUCUUUUCCAGGGAGUCUUCUCUUCUCCUGAGGUGGCCAAAGUCUUGGAGUCUCAGCUUCAGGAUCUGUCCUUCCAGGGAGCACUCAGUGCUGAUUUCCUUCAGAAUGGAGAGGUUUGAUCUUCUUGCAGUCCAUGGGACUCUCAAGAGUCUCCUCCAGCACCAGAAUUCAAAAGCAUCCAUUCUUUGGCGAUCAGCCUUCUUUGUGGUCCAGCUCUCACUUCCAUACAUCACUACUGGGAAAACCAUAGCUUUUACUAUACGGACCUUUGUUGGCAAGGUGAUGUCUCUGCUUUUUAAGAUGCUGUCUAGGUUCCUGGAGCAGGAACCGGCAAGCCUCUCCAGUAUCCCUGCCAGACAAGACAACAACAUAACCAGACAAGACAACAACAUAAAUUGGCUUCAAAUCGGCCACAACUUUAUUGAUUACAGGUGUGAAUGGUUUGGCAUAGGCAUUUGGGUGUAGCCAUUUUCAACUCCAGACCAUUUGCUGGGAGUGCAUCUAAGGGUAAAUCACAUCUGGCGGGGUGUGUGUGUGAUAUGACCUACAUCAAAUAGGGGUACCCCAUGAGGGUUCCCCGUGGAGGAGUACUGUGACCUUAGUCCCCGUCUGGGCAUCCAGACAGAAGCAACUCCUUGCAGAUCCCUUUAACAGGAUACCCAUAACCAAGGAGGGACAGGAAGAGGCUACAACCUCCCCUCCAGCCAAGACCAUGGCUUACCCAAUGCCUAACCUUACAAAGUUGUGACUAUUGCUACGAGGAAGGCAAAAACCACAAAACUGGAGCCAAUUUGCCAAGUGGAAAAAUUCUGGCCUGGUUCUGAAUAUGGCAACCAAUAAAGUACACAGCAAGGUCAAACAUGAAGGCAAAAAAGACAUGAAUAAUGGAGGCAGAGUGGGAGAUCCAGUGAAGAAUUGGGGAGGAAGUCUUUGCCAACCUCUGUUUAUCCCCCUGGGAGUGGAGCCAAGUGAUGCCUGUUGGCUGAGCCUAAGCCUGCCUGCCAUUGGCUGAUCUGCAAGCAGGCUGCAGGGCAGUGCUGGAUCGCAGACAUGACUGGGGCUACAACACCGCCUGACCAUUUUUUUUUUAAUAAGAUAUUUAUUAAGUUUUCUUAAAGUAUUAC
Molecule: long non-coding RNA, 5371 nt
Filed under: Podarcis lilfordi (Lilford's wall lizard)
Lineage: Eukaryota; Metazoa; Chordata; Lepidosauria; Squamata; Lacertidae
Source: RNAcentral